AUGGAGAUGAAACCCAAAAGAUUUUCGUUGGGGCGUAACCCUCUCAGCGACGCGCCACAUCGGAACCCGGGUGUGGUGGAAAAUGGGCAAGGGCCGGGCCGUCACCCCCCAAGUGGCGCGCCGUAUCUUGAUCCGGAUACGGUGGCAAGUGAGCGAGGAUCGGGUCGUCGCAUCCUUAGUGGCGCGCUACAUCGGCGCCCGGAUGUAGUGGAAAAUGAGCAAGGGUCUUCGCAUUUGACUCGACGAGUGCGAAGGGUAAGGAAGCUAGCCGAGCCUAGGAGGAUUCGCUUAGGUAGCUGGAACGUAGGGUCUCUGACAGGGAAGCUUCGGGAGCUAGUUGAUGCAGCAGUGAGGAGAGGUGUUGAUAUCCUUUGCAUCCAAGAAACCAAAUGGAGAGGACAGAAGGCGAAGGAGGUGGAGGAUACCGGCUUCAAGCUGUGGUACACGGGGACGGCUGCAAACAGAAAUGGCAUAGGCAUCUUGAUCAACAAGAGCCUCAAGUAUGGAGUGGUAGACGUCAGGAGACGUGGGGACCGGAUUAUCCUGGUCAAGCUGGUAGCUGAGGACUUGGUUCUCAAUGUUAUCAGCGCAUAUGCCCCGCAAGUAGGCCACAAUGAGAACACCAAGAGGGAGUUCUGGGAAGGCUUGGAAGACAUGGUUAGGAGUGUACCGAUUGGUGAGAAGCUCUUCAUAGGAGGAGACCUCAAUGGCCACGUGGGUACAUCUAACACAGGUUUUGAAGGGGCGCAUGGGGGCUUUGGCUAUGGCAUCAAGAAUCAAGAAGGAGAAGAUGUCUUAAGCUUUGCUCUAGCCUACAACAUGAUUGUAGCUAACACCCUCUUUAGAAAGAGAGAAUCACAUCUGGUGACUUUUAGUAGUGGCCAACACUCUAGCCAGAUUGAUUUCAUCCUCUCGAGAAGAGAAGAUAGGCGUGCGUGCCUAGACUGUAAGGUGAUACCUGGGGAGAGUGUUGUACCCCAGCAUAAGCUGGUGGUUGCUGACUUCCGCUUUCGGAUUCGUGUCCAGCGGGAUAAGCGUGCCAAGGUCGCUAGAACGAAGUGGUGGAAGCUCAAGGGGGAGGUAGCUCAGGUGUUCAAGGAGAGGGUAUUUAAGGAGGGCCCUUGGGAGGAAGGAGGGGAUGCGGACAAUGUGUGGAUGAAGAUGGCGACUUGCAUUCGUAAGGUGGCCUCGGAGGAGUUUGGAGUGUCCAGGGGAAGGAGAAGUGAAGAUAAGGAUACCUGGUGGUGGAAUGAUGAUGUCCAGAAGGUGCUUAAAGAGAAGAAAGAUUGCUUCAGACGCCUAUACCUGGAUAGGAGUGCAGACAACAUAGAGAAGUACAAGAUGGCGAAGAAGGCCGCAAAGCGAGCUGUUGGUGAAGCAAGGGGUCGGGCAUAUGAGGACCUCUACCAACGGUUAGGCACGAAGGAAGGUGAAAGGGACAUCUAUAAGAUGGCUAAGAUCCGGGAGAGGAAGACGAGGGAUAUUGGCCAAGUCAAAUGCAUCAAGGACGGAGCAGGCCAACUCUUGGUGAAGGACGAAGAGAUUAAGCAUAGAUGGCGGGAGUACUUCGACAAGCUGUUCAAUGGGGAGAAUGAGAGUUCUACCAUUGAACUGAAUGACUCCUUUGAUGAGACCAACAUGCGUUUUGUGCGGCGCAUCCAGGAGUCUGAGGUGAAGGAGGCUUUAAAAAGGAUGAAAGGAGGCAAGGCGAUGGGCCCUGAUUGUAUCCCCAUUGAGGUGUGGAAAGGUCUCGGGGACAUAGCGAUAGUAUGGCUAACCAAGCUUUUCAACCUCAUUUUUCGGGCAAACAAGAUGCCAGAAGAAUGGAGACGGAGUAUAUUAGUACCAAUCUUCAAGAACAAGGGAGAUGUUCAGAGUUGUACUAAUUACCGUGGAAUUAAGCUGAUGAGCCAUACAAUGAAGCUAUGGGAGAGAGUCAUUGAGCACUGCUUAAGAAGAAUGACAAGCGUGACCAAAAAUCAGUUUGGUUUCAUGCCUGGGAGGUCAACCAUGGAAGCCAUUUUCUUGGUACGACAACUUGUAGAGAGAUAUAGGGAGCAUAAGAAGGACUUGCAUAUGGUGUUCAUUGACUUGGAGAAGGCCUAUGAUAAGAUACCGCGGAAUGUCAUGUGGUGGGCCUUGGAGAAACACAAAGUCCCAGCAAAGUACAUUACCCUCAUCAAGGACAUGUACAAUAAUGUUGUGACAAGUGUUCGAACAAGUGAUGUCGACACCGAUGACUUCCCGAUUAAGAUAGGACUGCAUCAGGGGUCAGCUUUGAGCCCUUAUCUUUUUGCAUUGGUGAUGGAUGAGGUCACAAGGGGUAUACAAGGAGAUAUCCCAUGGUGUAUGCUCUUUGCGGAUGAUGUGGUGCUAGUUGACGAUAGUCGGACGGGGGUAAAUAGGAAGUUAGAGUUAUGGAGACAAACCUUGGAAUCGAAAGGGUUUAGGCUUAGUAGAACUAAAACCGAGUACAUGAUGUGCGGUUUCAGUACUACUAGCUGUGAGGAGGAGGAGGUUAGCCUUGAUGGCCAGGUGGUACCUCGGAAGGACACCUUUCGGUAUUUGGGGUCAAUGUUGCAGGAGGAUGGGGGUAUUGAUGAAGAUGUGAACCAUCGAAUCAAAGCCGGAUGGAUGAAGUGGCGCCAAGCUUCUGGCAUUCUCUGUGACAAGAGAGUGCCACAAAAGCUAAAAGGCAAGUUCUACAGGACGGCGGUUCGACCCGCAAUGUUGUAUGGCGCGGAGUGUUGGCCGACUAAAAGGCGACAUGUUUAA
This 2775-nucleotide ribosomal RNA is filed under the name Triticum aestivum (bread wheat). RNAcentral describes it as "partial small subunit ribosomal RNA". Lineage: Eukaryota; Viridiplantae; Streptophyta; Magnoliopsida; Poales; Poaceae. The record is from RNAcentral.